Molecule: ribosomal RNA, 460 nt
Filed under: uncultured bacterium
Lineage: Bacteria
Description: partial 16S ribosomal RNA
Rfam family: Bacterial small subunit ribosomal RNA
Source: RNAcentral
CCUACGGGUGGCAGCAGUGAGGAAUAUUGGUCAAUGGGCGCGAGCCUGAACCAGCCAAGUAGCGUGAAGGAUGAAUGCCCUACGGGUUGUAAACUUCUUUUAUCAAGGAAUAAAGUGAGGCGCGUGUGCCUUUUUGUAUGUACUUUAUGAAUAAGGAUCGGCUAACUCCGUGCCAGCAGCCGCGGUAAUACGGAGGAUCCGAGCGUUAUCCGGAAUUAUUGGGUUUAAAGGGAGCGUAGAUGGGUUGUUAAGUCAGUUGUGAAAGGUUGCGGCUCAACCGUAAAAUUGCAAUUGAUACUGGCAGUCUUGAGUACAGUUGAGGUAGGCAGAAUUCGUGGUGUAGCGGUGAAAUGCUUAGAGAUCACGAAGAACUCCGAUUGCGAAGGCAGCUUACUAAACAGACACUGACAUUGAUGCGCGAAAGUGUGGGUAUCAAACAGGAUUAGAUACCCCUGUAGUC